This 1065-nucleotide long non-coding RNA is filed under the name Cairina moschata (Muscovy duck). Its description in RNAcentral is "domestica (muscovy Duck (domestic type)) lncRNA (ENSCMMG00000017208.1)". Lineage: Eukaryota; Metazoa; Chordata; Aves; Anseriformes; Anatidae. The record is from RNAcentral.
UCCCCCCUCCCCUCAUCCCAGUCUUCGCCGAUUAGGGACAGCAAGUUCAAAUGUGCAAGUAAAAUGCAAGCUGAAAGGCAGGGAGACAAGGCAGUUCUGAAACUAGGUUAGAGAUUAAACGAGCCUGAUACUUGGCAGCUGUAGGCAAGGUUGGAUUGCCCUAGGGAAAGGGCUCAAAAUGAUUAAUGAAUUGGUGUUAUUAGCCUAUCAUGGGAUUGCAAUUCUGUUUGAAUCCUGAAGACUGAAAUUGAGAGGAGCUGUGUGGGUGUGAAUGAUGUACUGUAGAAGAAAGCUCAAGAACAGUUUCCCAGAAGGCAAGUAGAUCCCUUAAGGCAGCCUCAUGUUUGUUUUACUGCACCAUGUAGUCUAAAAUAUGCCCUUCACUACCAGUGGAUUGAUUCAUCAGCUGAUAUUGGGAUUUACCAUCUGCAAAGCUGUCCUUUCUCAGUUUAGGAGGCUCAGGAAACAAAGGAGCAGGCAGAAUUAACCUCCCAGCGAGGAUUACAAUCUCCCGUGUUAAUCCAGCCAGACGGCCUGAUCCACGGUGACUGCCCUCAAAGGCACUGUGUUGUACCAGUUCUGGAAAGUCUUUGCUCCGUGAAUCCUCCACAGCUUCAGGUAAUUACAGGAGAGGAUCUUGCUGGAGGUCUUUAAAACAGGAAUUGGGCAUGAGACACUUGAAACACUGGAAGUUAAAUCUGAAGAUUUAGGUUUUACCUUACGUUUAGAUUCAGAUUACCUUAAACAUUAGGAUUUGAAGUUUCUUGCAGGUUAUGAGAUGACCCAGUCUACGUGACGGAUACGCAGAGAUAACUGAUAGCAAACAGCAUUGCCAGAUCUUUUGCUGCAUGUAAUUACAUAUCAGCACAUACCCCUAAGUGAUUAAUUACUGCCUGAUGUGCUUUUGGAGCUGAGGGAGCCCCUCCCUUCCCCAACUCCUUAUUUUUUUCCUUAGGAAGGAGUCUUGUUGGCUUAUAAUUGGGGACGUUUGAGCCAAUAUUAGGAGAACACCAUCUAUAGGGAGUUGUGCCCGCAGUCCAGCUGUGCAAGGCAUGUGAUACACAC